GCAAGAAUGUGGGGGGGCUGGUGUUGCCAGCUGAGAAUGUAUCCGAUAGAUGCUGACCCUUAGAACCUGAUCUGGUUAACACCAGCGGAGGGAACAUCAGCUAAAAUCUC
RNAcentral lists this non-coding RNA (110 nucleotides) under Viridibacillus arenosi. RNAcentral describes it as "TPP sequence". It matches the Rfam family "TPP riboswitch aptamer (THI element)". Rfam says of the family: Vitamin B(1) in its active form thiamin pyrophosphate (TPP) is an essential coenzyme that is synthesised by coupling of pyrimidine and thiazole moieties in bacteria. The previously detected thiamin-regulatory element, thi box was extended, resulting in a new, highly conserved RNA secondary structure, the THI element, which is widely distributed in eubacteria and also occurs in some archaea. Analysis of operon structures identified a large number of new candidate thiamin-regulated genes, mostly transporters, in various prokaryotic organisms. The record is from RNAcentral. RNAcentral also lists the same sequence under 1 other name. Lineage: Bacteria; Bacillati; Bacillota; Bacilli; Caryophanales; Caryophanaceae.